AAUGAACGCUGGCGGCGCGCCUAAUACAUGCAAGUCGAGCGAGAAGACGUAGCAAUACGUUUGUAAAGCGGCGAACGGGUGAGGAAUACAUGGGUAACCUACCCUAGAGUGGGGAAUAACUAGCCGAAAGGUUAGCUAAUACCGCGUACGCUCCUUGGACUUCGGUUCAGGGAGGAAAGCGAUGCCGAGGGUAUCGCGCUCUUGGAUGGGCUCAUGUCCUAUCAGCUUGNGGUGAGGUAACGGCUCACCAAGGCUUCGACGGGUAGCUGGUCUGAGAGGACGAUCAGCCACACUGGCACUGCGACACGGGCCAGACUCCUACGGGAGGCAGCAGUAAGGAAUAUUGCGCAAUGGGCGAAAGCCUGACGCAGCGACGCCGCGUGGGGGAUG
RNAcentral lists this ribosomal RNA (390 nucleotides) under uncultured bacterium. Its description in RNAcentral is "bacterial SSU rRNA". It matches the Rfam family "Bacterial small subunit ribosomal RNA", at positions 29 to 410 of the family's 1533-position model. The record is from RNAcentral.